This 50-nucleotide ribosomal RNA is filed under the name Ptilothrix deusta. Its description in RNAcentral is "partial 28S ribosomal RNA". Lineage: Eukaryota; Viridiplantae; Streptophyta; Magnoliopsida; Poales; Cyperaceae. The record is from RNAcentral.
GAUACUUAGGUCAGGCGAGGAUACCCAUCGAGUAUAAGCAUGUAAAUAAG